This 519-nucleotide long non-coding RNA is filed under the name Manihot esculenta (cassava). RNAcentral's name for it is "long non-coding RNA (MESC_LNC012955)". Lineage: Eukaryota; Viridiplantae; Streptophyta; Magnoliopsida; Malpighiales; Euphorbiaceae. The record is from RNAcentral.
CUUAGUGCAUGUACUCUAUACUGUGAUAAUUCAGAUUAGGAGUCUAGGGGGGGCUGAUUAAGUGGUACUUAGGCUCUAAGGAAAAAAGGAGCUUGAUUGACUAAGUUAUUUGUUGCUUGAGGACAAGCAAAAAGCUAGGUGUGGGGGUAUUUGAUCAAGCAUAAUUUAGCCACAUUUUUAUCAUAAUUAUUAUUGUUUAUUUACACAUUUUUUAUUUUAAUUUAUGGUUUUUAUCUUGUUUUUACAGAAAAGGAAGAAAUUGGAAAAUUGGAGAAAAAGUGCAGAAAAUUGACAGAAAAGUGAUUGGGUCAGUGAUUUGCCCAAAACACUCAAAUCACCGGGCAAAUCACUUUGACAACAGAAACCUGGAGGCAACAGGCAGAAGUGAUAUGGGCAAGUGAUUUGCCCAAGACACUCGAAGACACUGGCCAAAUCACUCGCAGAAGACAGAGAGCAAAAAAAACUGGACUGACUCACAGAAAAGUGAUUGGGUCAGUGAUUUGCCCAAAACACUCAAAU